This 506-nucleotide ribosomal RNA is filed under the name uncultured bacterium. RNAcentral's name for it is "bacterial SSU rRNA". It matches the Rfam family "Bacterial small subunit ribosomal RNA", at positions 355 to 874 of the family's 1533-position model. The record is from RNAcentral.
UGGGGAAUCUUGGACAAUGGGGGCAACCCUGAUCCAGCCAUGCCGCGUGAGUGAUGAAGGCCUUAGGGUCGUAAAGCUCUUUCGCCUGUGAAGAUAAUGACGGUAGCAGGUAAAGAAACCCCGGCUAACUCCGUGCCAGCAGCCGCGGUAAUACGGAGGGGGUUAGCGUUGUUCGGAAUUACUGGGCGUAAAGCGCACGUAGGCGGACCAGAAAGUUGGGGGUGAAAUCCCGGGGGCUCAACCCCGGAACUGCCUCCAAAACUAUUGGUCUAGAGUUCGAGAGAGGUGAGUGGAAUUCCAAGUGUAGAGGUGAAAUUCGUAGAUAUUCGGAGGAACACCAGUGGCGAAGGCGGUCACCUGGGCCAGUACUGACGCUGAGGCGCGAAAGGCGUGGGGAGCAAACAGGAUUAGAUACCCUGGUAGUCCACGCCGUAAAACGAUGAGCACUCGGUGCCGCGGGUAUCGACCCCUGCGGUGCCUGAGCUAACGCAUUAAGUGCUCCGCCU